RNAcentral lists this ribosomal RNA (970 nucleotides) under Agaricus subumbonatus. RNAcentral describes it as "partial large subunit ribosomal RNA". The record is from RNAcentral. Lineage: Eukaryota; Fungi; Basidiomycota; Agaricomycetes; Agaricales; Agaricaceae.
UACCCGCUGAAACUUAAGCAUAUCAAUAAGCGGAGGAUAAGAAACUAACAAGGAUUCCCCUAGUAACUGCGAGUGAAGCGGGAAAAGCUCAAAUUUAAAAUCUGGCGGUCUUUGGCCGUCCGAGUUGUAAUCUAGAGAAGUAAUGCCCGUGCUGGACCGUGUAUAAGUCUCCUGGGAUGGGGCGUCAUAGAGGGUGAGAAUCCCGUCUUUGACACGGACUACCAGUGCAUUGUGGUAUGCUCUCAAAGAGUCGAGUUGUUUGGGAAUGCAGCUCAAAAUGGGUGGUAAAUUCCAUCUAAAGCUAAAUAUUGGCGAGAGACCGAUAGCGAACAAGUACCGUGAGGGAAAGAUGAAAAGAACUUUGGAAAGAGAGUUAAACAGUACGUGAAAUUGCUGAAAGGGAAACGCUUGAAGUCAGUCGCGUUGGCCGGGGAUCAGCCUUGCUUUUGCAUGGUGUACUUUCUGGUUGACGGGUCAGCAUCAAUUUUGACCRCUGGAAAAAGACCUGGGGAAUGUGGCAGCUUCGGCUGUGUUAUAGCCCCUAGUCGCAUACAGUGGUUGGGAUUGAGGAACUCAGCACGCCGCAAGGCCGGGUUUCGACCACGUUCGUGCUUAGGAUGCUGGCAUAAUGGCUUUAAGCGACCCGUCUUGAAACACGGACCAAGGAGUCUAACAUGCCUGCGAGUAUUUGGGUGGAAAACCCAAGUGCGUAAUGAAAGUGAAAGUUGAGAUCCCUGUCGUGGGGAGCAUCGACGCCCGGACCAGAACUUUUGGGACGGAUCCGCGGUGGAGCAUGUAUGUUGGGACCCGAAAGAUGGUGAACUAUGCCUGAAUAGGGUGAAGCCAGAGGAAACUCUGGUGGAGGCUCGUAGCGAUUCUGACGUGCAAAUCGAUCGUCAAAUUUGGGUAUAGGGGCGAAAGACUAAUCGAACCAUCUAGUAGCUGGUUCCUGCCGAGUUUUCCCUCAGGA